Molecule: small nuclear RNA, 105 nt
Organism: Erinaceus europaeus (western European hedgehog)
Lineage: Eukaryota; Metazoa; Chordata; Mammalia; Eulipotyphla; Erinaceidae
Source: Ensembl
GUGCUUGCUCACUCAGGUAACGCGUUUACUAAAACUGGGACCACACAGAGGAGGUUGGCAUGGCCCCUGUGUGAGGAUGCCAUUUGAAAAGCCUUUUUUUUUUUU